Small nuclear RNA from Rhinolophus ferrumequinum (greater horseshoe bat), 103 nucleotides. The record is from Ensembl. Lineage: Eukaryota; Metazoa; Chordata; Mammalia; Chiroptera; Rhinolophidae.
UUGCUUCAGCACCACAUAUACUAAAAUUGGAAUGAUACAGACAACAUUAGCAUGGCCCCAGCAGAAGGAUGACAGGCAAAUUUGUGAAGUGUUCCGUAUUUUU